This 236-nucleotide long non-coding RNA is filed under the name Penaeus japonicus. Its description in RNAcentral is "uncharacterized LOC122252401". The record is from RNAcentral. Lineage: Eukaryota; Metazoa; Arthropoda; Malacostraca; Decapoda; Penaeidae.
AGGUGUCAGUAACGUUGCUGACAGCCGUUGUGGUGUCAGUGCAAGCGGCUCAACUUGGCUAUGGAUACUCGGCGCCCCAGAUUGCAGAUGAGAGCUCGCUGGAAACGAGUGUAGAACGAACUGUGAAUAAUAAUUAUCUCCCUCCUCUUGGGAGUUCUGAGUCAUCAGAAGAGUCAUCAGAAGAGUCGUCAGAGGAAUCAAGAGAAGUUUUCGCGCCAAGGAACUAUGGGUCUCAG